UAUGGUAACCGCCGCGGUAAUACGUAGGGGGCAAGCGUUAUCCGGAUUUACUGGGUGUAAAGGGAGCGUAGACGGCUGUGCAAGUCUGAAGUGAAAGGCAUGGGCUCAACCUGUGGACUGCUUUGGAAACUGUGCAGCUAGAGUGUCGGAGAGGUAAGUGGAAUUCCUAGUGUAGCGGUGAAAUGCGUAGAUAUUAGGAGGAACACCAGUGGCGAAGGCGGCUUACUGGACGAUGACUGACGUUGAGGCUCGAAAGCGUGGGGAGCAAACAGG
This 273-nucleotide ribosomal RNA is filed under the name Dorea formicigenerans. RNAcentral describes it as "partial 16S ribosomal RNA". It matches the Rfam family "Bacterial small subunit ribosomal RNA", at positions 502 to 776 of the family's 1533-position model. The record is from RNAcentral. Lineage: Bacteria; Bacillati; Bacillota; Clostridia; Lachnospirales; Lachnospiraceae.